GUCAUAUGCUUGUCUCAAAGAUUAAGCCAUGCAUGUCUCAGUACAAGCCAAAUUAAGGUGAAACCGCGAAAGGCUCAUUAAAUCAGUUAUGGUUCCUUAGAUCGUACACACAAUUACUUGGAUAACUGUGGUAAUUCUAGAGCUAAUACAUGCUAACAGAGCUCCGACCGGAGACGGAAGGAGUGCUUUUAUUAGAUCAAAACCAAUCGGUGGCGAGUUCGCUCGUUAUCGUACAACUUGGUGACUCUGAAUAACUUUACGCUGAUCGCACGGUCAUCGCACCGGCGACGCAUCUUUCAAAUGUCUGCCUUAUCAACUGUCGAUGGUAGGUUCUGCGCCUACCAUGGUUGUAACGGGUAACGGGGAAUCAGGGUUCGAUUCCGGAGAGGGAGCCUGAGAAACGGCUACCACAUCCAAGGAAGGCAGCAGGCGCGCAAAUUACCCACUCCCGGCACGGGGAGGUAGUGACGAAAAAUAACGAUACGGGACUCAUCCGAGGCCCCGUAAUCGGAAUGAGUACACUCUAAACCCUUUAACGAGGAUCAAUUGGAGGGCAAGUCUGGUGCCAGCAGCCGCGG
This 578-nucleotide ribosomal RNA is filed under the name Trigonopterus ferrugineus. Its description in RNAcentral is "SSU rRNA". It matches the Rfam family "Eukaryotic small subunit ribosomal RNA", at positions 23 to 579 of the family's 1831-position model. The record is from RNAcentral. Lineage: Eukaryota; Metazoa; Arthropoda; Insecta; Coleoptera; Curculionidae.